Molecule: long non-coding RNA, 265 nt
Filed under: Homo sapiens (human)
Lineage: Eukaryota; Metazoa; Chordata; Mammalia; Primates; Hominidae
Description: non-protein coding lnc-OR2V2-3:1
Source: RNAcentral
AGAAAGGGGGGGGAAAAAAAAAAAAAACACUGUGGCAUGUUUCCGCCCGGUUUCGAACCGGGGACCUUUCGCGUGUUAGGCGAACGUGAUGACCACUACACUACGGAAACCCACACCUACCUCUGUCGCCAUAAUAUUGUCUGCUAGCAGCUACUCUCCGGGUACGUUCGACAAGUGAUCCCUAGCUGUAAAAGGAGAGCCCCCACAACCCUCAAGAGCAUACUCUCACGUGCAGGUCUGUGCCCAAAGUCUUCACAGCAACUGU